This 791-nucleotide ribosomal RNA is filed under the name Staphylococcus aureus. RNAcentral describes it as "partial 23S ribosomal RNA". It matches the Rfam family "Bacterial large subunit ribosomal RNA", at positions 444 to 1242 of the family's 2925-position model. Lineage: Bacteria; Bacillati; Bacillota; Bacilli; Caryophanales; Staphylococcaceae. RNAcentral also lists the same sequence under 1 other name. The record is from RNAcentral.
CUGGGAGGACCAUCUCCUAAGGCUAAAUACUCUCUAGUGACCGAUAGUGAACCAGUACCGUGAGGGAAAGGUGAAAAGCACCCCGGAAGGGGAGUGAAAUAGAACCUGAAACCGUGUGCUUACAAGUAGUCAGAGCCCGUUAAUGGGUGAUGGCGUGCCUUUUGUAGAAUGAACCGGCGAGUUACGAUUUGAUGCAAGGUUAAGCAGUAAAUGUGGAGCCGUAGCGAAAGCGAGUCUGAAUAGGGCGUUUAGUAUUUGGUCGUAGACCCGAAACCAGGUGAUCUACCCUUGGUCAGGUUGAAGUUCAGGUAACACUGAAUGGAGGACCGAACCGACUUACGUUGAAAAGUGAGCGGAUGAACUGAGGGUAGCGGAGAAAUUCCAAUCGAACCUGGAGAUAGCUGGUUCUCUCCGAAAUAGCUUUAGGGCUAGCCUCAAGUGAUGAUUAUUGGAGGUAGAGCACUGUUUGGACGAGGGGCCCCUCUCGGGUUACCGAAUUCAGACAAACUCCGAAUGCCAAUUAAUUUAACUUGGGAGUCAGAACAUGGGUGAUAAGGUCCGUGUUCGAAAGGGAAACAGCCCAGACCACCAGCUAAGGUCCCAAAAUAUAUGUUAAGUGGAAAAGGAUGUGGCGUUGCCCAGACAACUAGGAUGUUGGCUUAGAAGCAGCCAUCAUUUAAAGAGUGCGUAAUAGCUCACUAGUCGAGUGACACUGCGCCGAAAAUGUACCGGGGCUAAACAUAUUACCGAAGCUGUGGAUUGUCCUUUGGACAAUGGUAGGAGAGCGUUCU